This 146-nucleotide unclassified non-coding RNA is filed under the name soil metagenome. Its description in RNAcentral is "partial internal transcribed spacer 1". The record is from RNAcentral.
UAAUAAGUGUUUUAUGGCACUUUUUAAAUCCAUAUCCACCUUGUGUGCAAUGUCGGUCGAUCUUCUUCUUUGAGGAUCGACCAAACCUCAACCUUUAUCUUUUAACUCUUUGUCUGAAAAAUAUUAUGAAUAAACAAUUCAAAAUA